RNAcentral lists this long non-coding RNA (783 nucleotides) under Vigna radiata. Its description in RNAcentral is "long non-coding RNA (VRAD_LNC000598)". The record is from RNAcentral. Lineage: Eukaryota; Viridiplantae; Streptophyta; Magnoliopsida; Fabales; Fabaceae.
AUGGUCAUUUUAUUCCUUGAGCUUAUGAGAAGAGGGUGCAACACAUUUGAAUUGGGGGUGCAUAUGGAAAGCACUAUUACGAAAAAAAUUAAAAUAAGUGGAGAAGUGUGAUGAUUGAAUUUGGAAAGCUGCUGCACAUGGUACAUAAUUAAUUAAUAUUGGAAAAUGAUUGUUCAACACCCACAUUUGACACAAAUUUGACACCGUCCCAGGUGUCAAAUUUCUAUUGGCUUUUAAGUUUUAAUUGGAUUAUGUUUUUUGAAAAAUCUGAGGAGGGUAGAAUAGGAAUUUUGAGAGAUGUGUUUUAUGAGUUUUGAUUUGGCGGUUUAUUUUUCACUUUGCUGUGUUGGGUUUUUCUAUCUCCGUUGCUAUCUCCAUUCCCGCACCUUCAUCGUUGGGUUUUGGUAUCUCCAUUGCUAUCUCCAUUGCUGCGACUGUGUUGCUUGUUGGGAAAAAGGCAGUCUUUCGCAAGGUAGGGAGGUGUUCUCGUAUCUUCUUUAUCGGGGGCUUGGGUUUCUUGUGAGUUUCGUGAUUGGACUCGGUCUCGCAUUCCUUUGCUAUCUCCAUUGCUGCGUUGGUGUUUUCCGAAGCGGAAAAAGGUUGUCUUUCGCAAGGUAAGUUGUAGUUGUGGUAUCUUCUUUUUGGGGGGCUUGGGUUUUUUGUUCGUUUGGUCAUUGGAAUCGGUCUCGCAUUUUGUUGUUUCUAUUUCUGUACCAUUGCUUCUGAUUUUUGUCUUCCACGUAAUUUAGGGUUUAUAUUUUUUUUUUGUGAACCCUAAGCAAG